UUUUUUUUUUUUUUUUUUUUCUUUUUUUAGUUUCUUGUGGUUUAAAGUCAAGUUUUUGAUGCAAGAUCUUUCUUCUCCUUUAAUAUAGAAAUUUACCAUUAUAAACUUCCCUUUUAGUAUUGUUUUUGCUGCAUCCAAAAACUUUGCUAUGCUGUAUUUUCAUUUUCAUUUGUCUCAAGUGAGUUCUAAUUUCUCUUGUGAAUUAUUCUAUGAUGCUCUUUGUUGUUCAAGAGUGUGUUUUUUAAUUUUCACAUAUUUAUGAAUUUUCCAGUUACUUUCUGCUAUUGAAUUCUAGUUUCAUUCUGUUGUGGCUGAAAAAGGUACUUGAUAAGAUUUCAAUCUUCCUAAAUUUGUUAAGACUUCAUUUGUGGCCUAACAUGGGAUCCUUCUUAGAGAAUGCUCUCUUUCCACUUGAGAAGAAUGUGUGUUCUGCUAGUGUUGGGUGGGAGUGUUCUGUAUAUGUCUGCUAGAUCUAAUUGAUCUAAAAUAUUGUUCAGGUACUUCCUUAUUGAGCUUCUGCUUAGUUGAUCUAUUCAUUAUUAAAAGUGAGGUAGUUGGUGUCACUGCUAUGGCUUAGGUUUGAUUCCUGGCCUGGAACUUCUACAUUCUUCUGCCAUUGUUUCCCCUAAUACCCCCCCCCAAAAAAAAAAUGAGGUAGUGAAAUCUCUAGUAAUAUUGCAUUACUGUUUAUUUCUUUCUUUAAUUCUGCCAGUGCUUGCUUUGUGUAUUUGGGCACUCUGCUGUUAGGUGCAUAUAUAUUUAUAAUUGCUAUAUCUUGAUAAAUUGGCCCUUUUAUCAUUCUAUAAUGUCCCUUCUUGUUUCUUGUGAGUUUUGACUUAAAUUCUAUUUGAUCUAAAUAUGGUCACUCCUACUCUCUUUUGGUUACUAUUUUCAUGGAAUAUCUUUUUCCAUCCUUUCACUUUCAGCCCAAGUGAGUCUCUUGUAAACAAUAUAAUUGCAUGUUGUGUUUUAAUCCAUUCAUCCAUUCUCUUUAUUUUUUAAAAAAUUUUUUAAAAACUUUUUGUCUUUUUUUCUUUUUAAGGCUGUACCCUUGGCAUAUGGAGGAUCCCAGGCUAGGGGUCUAAUCAAGCUGAAGCCAAAGGCCUACGCUAGAGCCACAACUAUGUCAGAUCCAAGCC
Molecule: long non-coding RNA, 1139 nt
Filed under: Sus scrofa (pig)
Lineage: Eukaryota; Metazoa; Chordata; Mammalia; Artiodactyla; Suidae
Description: lncRNA (ENSSSCG00015041380.1)
Source: RNAcentral